Molecule: ribosomal RNA, 497 nt
Filed under: uncultured bacterium
Lineage: Bacteria
Description: partial 16S ribosomal RNA
Rfam family: Bacterial small subunit ribosomal RNA
Source: RNAcentral
GAUGAACGCUGGCGGCGUGCCUAAUACAUGCAAGUCGAGCGAACAGACGAGGAGCUUGCUCCUCUGACGUUAGCGGCGGACGGGUGAGUAACACGUGGAUAACCUACCUAUAAGACUGGGAUAACUUCGGGAAACCGGAGCUAAUACCGGAUAAUAUAUUCAACCGCAUUGUUCAAUAGUGAAAGACGGUUUUGCUGUCACUUAUAGAUGGAUCCGCGCCGCAUUAGCUAGUUGGUAAGGUAACGGCUUACCAAGGCAACGAUGCGUAGCCGACCUGAGAGGGUGAUCAGCCACACUGGAACGGAGACACGGUCCAGACUCCUACGGGAGGCAGCAGUAGGGAAUCUUCCGCAAUGGGCGAAAGCCUGACGGAGCAACGCCGCGUGAGGGAUGAAGGUCUUCGGAUCGUAAAACUCUGUUAUUAGGGAAGAACAAAUGUGUAAGUAACUAUGCACGUCUUGACGGUACCUAAUCAGAAAGCCACGGCUAACUACGUG